This 435-nucleotide ribosomal RNA is filed under the name uncultured bacterium. Its description in RNAcentral is "partial 16S ribosomal RNA". It matches the Rfam family "Bacterial small subunit ribosomal RNA", at positions 29 to 507 of the family's 1533-position model. The record is from RNAcentral.
AGCGAACGCUGGCGGCAGGCUUAACACAUGCAAGUCGAACGGGCAUCUUCGGAUGUCAGUGGCAGACGGGUGAGUAACACGUGGGAACGUACCCUUCGGUUCGGAAUAACUCAGGGAAACUUGAGCUAAUACCGGAUACGCCCUUUUGGGGAAAGGUUUACUGCCGAAGGAUCGGCCCGCGUCUGAUUAGCUUGUUGGUGGGGUAACGGCCUACCAAGGCGACGAUCAGUAGCUGGUCUGAGAGGAUGAUCAGCCACACUGGGACUGAGACAUGGCCCAGACUCCUACGGGAGGCAGCAGUGGGGAAUAUUGGACAAUGGGCGCAAGCCUGAUCCAGCCAUGCCGCGUGAGUGAUGAAGGCCUUAGGGUUGUAAAGCUCUUUUGUCCGGGACGAUAAUGACGGUACCGGAAGAAUAAGCCCCGGCUAACUUCGUG